Molecule: ribosomal RNA, 492 nt
Filed under: uncultured bacterium
Lineage: Bacteria
Description: partial 16S ribosomal RNA
Rfam family: Bacterial small subunit ribosomal RNA
Source: RNAcentral
AGUGAACGCUGGCGGUAGGCCUAACACAUGCAAGUCGAACGGCAGCACAGUAAGAGCUUGCUCUUACGGGUGGCGAGUGGCGGACGGGUGAGGAAUACAUCGGAAUCUACUUUUUCGUGGGGGAUAACGUAGGGAAACUUACGCUAAUACCGCAUACGACCUACUGGUGAAAGCAGGGGAUCUUCGGACCUUGCGCGAUUGAAUGAGCCGAUGUCGGAUUAGCUAGUUGGCGGGGUAAAGGCCCACCAAGGCGACGCUCCGUAGCUGGUCUGAGAGGAUGAUCAGCCACACUGGAACUGAGACACGGUCCAGACUCCUACGGGAGGCAGCAGUGGGGAAUAUUGGACAAUGGGCGCAAGCCUGAUCCAGCCAUACCGCGUGGGUGAAGAAGGCCUUCGGGUUGUAAAGCCCUUUUGUUGGGAAAGAAAAGCAGCAGGUUAAUACCCCGCUGUUCUGACGGUACCCAAAGAAUAAGCACCGGCUAACUUCGUG